Molecule: ribosomal RNA, 668 nt
Filed under: Salmonella enterica subsp. enterica serovar Senftenberg
Lineage: Bacteria; Pseudomonadati; Pseudomonadota; Gammaproteobacteria; Enterobacterales; Enterobacteriaceae
Also listed under: 3 other names
Description: bacterial SSU rRNA
Rfam family: Bacterial small subunit ribosomal RNA
Source: RNAcentral
UAGACCGCCUGGGGAGUACGGCCGCAAGGUUAAAACUCAAAUGAAUUGACGGGGGCCCGCACAAGCGGUGGAGCAUGUGGUUUAAUUCGAUGCAACGCGAAGAACCUUACCUGGUCUUGACAUCCACAGAAGAAUCCAGAGAUGGAUUUGUGCCUUCGGGAACUGUGAGACAGGUGCUGCAUGGCUGUCGUCAGCUCGUGUUGUGAAAUGUUGGGUUAAGUCCCGCAACGAGCGCAACCCUUAUCCUUUGUUGCCAGCGGUUAGGCCGGGAACUCAAAGGAGACUGCCAGUGAUAAACUGGAGGAAGGUGGGGAUGACGUCAAGUCAUCAUGGCCCUUACGACCAGGGCUACACACGUGCUACAAUGGCGCAUACAAAGAGAAGCGACCUCGCGAGAGCAAGCGGACCUCAUAAAGUGCGUCGUAGUCCGGAUUGGAGUCUGCAACUCGACUCCAUGAAGUCGGAAUCGCUAGUAAUCGUGGAUCAGAAUGCCACGGUGAAUACGUUCCCGGGCCUUGUACACACCGCCCGUCACACCAUGGGAGUGGGUUGCAAAAGAAGUAGGUAGCUUAACCUUCGGGAGGGCGCUUACCACUUUGUGAUUCAUGACUGGGGUGAAGUCGUAACAAGGUAACCGUAGGGGAACCUGCGGUUGGAUCACCUCCUUA